Molecule: long non-coding RNA, 2525 nt
Organism: Dermacentor andersoni
Lineage: Eukaryota; Metazoa; Arthropoda; Arachnida; Ixodida; Ixodidae
Source: RefSeq, a predicted model, not a curated record
GCCGUGGGGGCGACGCGCGCGCGGAAAGUAGCCAAACAAAAUAGAAGCAUGAGCUCUGGGCGCUCUGCUCAAUCUCAAGCGAGCUGAAGAAGCAAACAUGCGAAUUGCCGGAGAGAAGAAAACCACCACCGAGAGAGAGCAUACGAACGCCGCGCAAGACCGAAGCGACGGCCGAGGAAUUCCGCUAGCUGCGACACGGUGACUCUUUUCCGUCCACCCGGCUCUAGCUCGGCCAAACUUCUCGAUGGAAGAUAGGCAACGGAGCAGUUCCGUGCGCAAUUGAACGUUAAACCUUCGACCAAUUUUCGUUUAUGACCUUCGCAUAUGCGCCUUGUCGGCAUGCAACGCGCCCUGUCCGUAGGGUGCCUCGAUGCCAACGCCGAAUAUUAGACGUGAUAUUCGGCACGCUACAAUCGGAGUGUAGGUACCCUCCUCCUCCAAGAACACGUCAGGUCGCUUCCUAUUUAGGCUUCUUUUAUAUGUGCUACCGGCGACUAGUGGUUCUAAGCGCCGGCGGGCACUGUAAGUCGGUUACAACCUAGGGCUUCAGUGGCAAAUUACCCCGCCGCCCCACGGAAAUACAACCUUUACAGACGUGUGCUCGUUUGCUUGACCUCACAGCGGUGGCGAACUCCUUUCUGUAUCGCCGUCCCUCGAUAACUACGUUUUGAGGCGCAGUUAUGUGAGCGGAGUUAGGGCUGAAUUCUUAUGCUAUCGACAAUAGUGAACGCCCGGACUUGCGAAGACAUUUUCUUUUGCUCUGUCCUUCUCGUUCCCCGCAGAAAGAUCAAGUGGUUGAACAGUGUUCCACAUUCAUGCUCUCUUCAAUGUCUUCGGUUUGUUGCUUUUCCAAAAUGUUCAACUCGCGGACCCCUUCCUUGCACUGCCAUGGAUAAAAACAAAAUGCGGUUUUACGAGUCAGAACCACGAUGUGAUCAUGACGCACGCCGUAGACUCCCGAUUAAUUUUGACCAACUGGGUUUCCUUAAGGUGCACCCAAUGCAAAGCAAACAGGCGUUUUUGCACUCCACCCCCAUCGAAAUCCAGCCUCCGCAGCAGUCAUCUGAUACCGCGCCCUCGGGCUUAGCAGCGUAACGCCAAGGCUACACACUGCGCCAACACGGCGGGUACCGUGGAUUUGCAUGUUCGCCGUCUAGUUUGGCCAGUUUUGCCUGAGCUUUUCCAAAUAUGAAGGUUAUUCGCAACAUUGUCUCGUCCGUACGCGCUUUAUAACUUUACCCAACCAUGUCCUGUCACUAGCCUGCCAGCACAUAUAUCCUCAGGAGGAGAGAAGAACGCAUUCAGGGCGUUUCGCGAUGAAAAUGUGCCUCGAAAUGUGUCGUGCCUCUCCACUGCUCUUUCAACUUGAAAGUUGACGCCCAGCGACAGACAAUGUGCCGAGCGAGGUUCGCCUACAUAUUUUCUCCGGCCUUAGUUCGUCUCGCGGCCACGUAUGUUAUCGUCUGUUCCUCCGGAACGAUUAAAGUCAACACCCGUAGUUCGUUAGCGCCAGAUGUGACUUGUGCAGCCAAAAGCAGUACGACUACGCUGAAUAUUUUCCCAUAGGUACAUGGAACUUUUCAACGCAAGAGGCCGGCGAAACAUGCCGGCCAUCGGUUAAGGCAACGUACUGGGGACCUCAAUUGUUCGUUUCAUAUAACGGUGUACGAAUACCGUGGGGGCGGCGUAUACUACACAGAAGUACGCGCAUCACAAGCGAGAGAGAAACGCCGUAGCUUCCAUCGCUCUGCAAAGUGCUUUGGCUGGGCUCCGCGCCAGCUGUGCCUUCUCCGCUACAAACACACGCUGCCGUUCGAGACUGCUCACCUGGAGUGCCAGCUGGCUCUCUCUCUCUUCCGCGCACGGAGAAGGCACGGCGGCAAGCGAAGCGCCACCCAUAGUGCCACAAAUGACCAACUCCCAAAAGAUGCCACAAAUGCAUUCUUGGAUAGCAACAGAGUGGUUCCAGCAAGGUAAGGAAAACGGAGAAGAAAGGCCACGAGGCGCGCUCUGUGCAGUGGGCCAGCACGGGCAGGGACAGAACAAGUCACUUAUUUCCGCUUCCAAGAAAGUAAAGUGACACUCAAGUGCGUGCGGUCAUUGCUGCCACGCAUCUUUCCGGAUCAAGAAGGGCGCGAUCUGUGUCGUGGCAGCGACGUGCGACUACAGACGGCGCGCAGCUACCACGUCGGUGCAUGCGCCUCGUAUCUGCCUUAAGCGUCCCAGAUGUUUUCCUGCGUUGGGUGCGUUAAGUUGCCAAAUAAAAGUCAAUUACUGCACUAGCAUACUCAUUUCCGGUGGGGUUAGUAACCGAGCAAUUACUAACCCCACCGACCAUUUGGCGUUACAAAAUGACCUAUCGCGCAUACAAAACUGGUGUAACACUUGGCUCAUGUCAUUAAAUGUAGCUAAAACCAUGUUGAUGUGUAUUUAUCGUCGUCGUAAUUACGAUAUGCCUAAUUAUAGCAUCAAUAACAUGCAGAUUGCAAAAACUGAUUCAUUCAAAUAUAGUGGUGUUUGUAUAC